Non-coding RNA from Aspergillus ellipticus CBS 707.79, 108 nucleotides. Lineage: Eukaryota; Fungi; Ascomycota; Eurotiomycetes; Eurotiales; Aspergillaceae. The record is from the annotation of a GenBank genome assembly.
UUCUCCAUGGUGUAGUGGUUAUCACGUGGGUCUCAUAUAUAUUGUAUGACUUGGGGGUGUAACUUUCAGGAAAUCCCAAGGCCGGGAGCUCGAUCCUCCCUGGGGACA